Molecule: ribosomal RNA, 501 nt
Filed under: uncultured bacterium
Lineage: Bacteria
Description: partial 16S ribosomal RNA
Rfam family: Bacterial small subunit ribosomal RNA
Source: RNAcentral
AUUGAACGCUGGCGGCAGGCUUAACACAUGCAAGUCGAGCGGGGGAAGGUAGCUUGCUACCGGACCUAGCGGCGGACGGGUGAGUAAUGCUUAGGAAUCUGCCUAUCAGUGGGGGACAACAUCUCGAAAGGGCUGCUAAUACCGCAUACGUCCUACGGGAGAAAGCAGGGGAUCUUCGGACCUUGCGCUAAUAGAUGAGCCUAAGUCGGAUUAGCUAGUUGGUGGGGUAUAGGCCUACCAAGGCGACGAUCUGUAGCGGGUCUGAGGGGAUGAUCCGCCACACUGGGACUGAGACACGGCCCAGACUCCUACGGGAGGCAGCAGUGGGGAAUAUUGGACAAUGGGGGGAACCCUGAUCCAGCCAUGCCGCGUGUGUGAAGAAGGCCUUAUGGUUGUAAAGCACUUUAAGCGAGGAGAAGGCUACUCUAGUUAAUACCUAGGGAUAGUGGACGUUACUCGCAGAAUAAGCACCGGCUAACUCUGUGCCAGCCGCCGCAGUAA